Molecule: ribosomal RNA, 488 nt
Filed under: uncultured bacterium
Lineage: Bacteria
Description: bacterial SSU rRNA
Rfam family: Bacterial small subunit ribosomal RNA
Source: RNAcentral
UGAACGCUAGCUACAGGCUUAACACAUGCAAGUCGAGGGGCAGCAUGGUCUUAGCUUGCUAAGGCCGAUGGCGACCGGCGCACGGGUGAGUAACACGUAUCCAACCUGCCGUCUACUCUUGGACAGCCUUCUGAAAGGAAGAUUAAUACAAGAUGGCAUCAUGAGUCCGCAUGUUCACAUGAUUAAAGGUAUUCCGGUAGACGAUGGGGAUGCGUUCCAUUAGAUAGUAGGCGGGGUAACGGCCCACCUAGUCUUCGAUGGAUAGGGGUUCUGAGAGGAAGGUCCCCCACAUUGGAACUGAGACACGGUCCAAACUCCUACGGGAGGCAGCAGUGAGGAAUAUUGGUCAAUGGGCGAGAGCCUGAACCAGCCAAGUAGCGUGAAGGAUGACUGCCCUAUGGGUUGUAAACUUCUUUUAUAAAGGAAUAAAGUCGGGUAUGUAUACCCGUUUGCAUGUACUUUAUGAAUAAGGAUCGGCUAACUCCGUG